CCUCCCACCUCAGCCUCCUGAGUAUAGCUGGUGCUUCAGGUUCAAGUGGGAUGAGAAGACAGUGAAAUUUAUGUGAUCUGAUGAUGAUAAGUGCUGUGGAGAAAAAUAAACCAGGGAGAGAAGAGAACGUGCUGGGGAGAAGGGGACUCUAGUGAUUUCAAUGUUGAAUAGGAUGGCCAAGAAAGGCCUCUUCCUCUGCUGGUGCUGGACAGCUGAGCAAGACAGAAGGACAGAAAGACAGCAAAUAUCAGGCUAAGAGGAUGUUUGGGGAAGUGUACCCCCACAGAGAACAACUUCAAGGACUCCGAGGCGGAGAGACACAGCCGAACCAGUGCCAGGGGAACAGACGGGCCCAUCAGACCCCAAAGCGAGCAUGCUGUCUCCCGUUCCACAGACACACAUCACCUGGCUCCGACGACCAGCCUGCAGGGCCACUCCCAAGCGUUCUAAGGAACAGGGCACCAGCCUGUCUCAGACCCCAGGCCAGUGUGGGAAGCACAGUCAUUUAACUUACAUGACUCUGGCUUAUUUGGAUUGGGUUUGACAAAAGAGGAAGAGAACAGAACACAUUUUUCUCCUGUCUUUCAAAUUAAGAAAGAAAUACCUAGAACAUUUAAUUAAAUAAAUACAAGAAUAAAAAUUAUGCA
Molecule: long non-coding RNA, 647 nt
Filed under: Homo sapiens (human)
Lineage: Eukaryota; Metazoa; Chordata; Mammalia; Primates; Hominidae
Description: HSALNT0379428
Source: RNAcentral